Pantherophis guttatus is the source of this 677-nucleotide non-coding RNA. Lineage: Eukaryota; Metazoa; Chordata; Lepidosauria; Squamata; Colubridae. The record is from RefSeq and is a predicted model, not a curated record.
CUAACGCCCAGUCCCGCAGAACUGUGUUCAGGCUUUGGCUCCCCCGCUCAUCUGAAGUCGAAAAUAUAACUAAUGUUUUCACUGAAUUCUUAACGAAAUAUUUAUAGUAGAUCGUUAAAAAAGGAACUCCACCACUCUGCAGUCGAUGUCUGAUCCUUGCAAAUGUUUACAUUGCAUCUAUCUAUAAAGGUCAGAAAUAUGAAGACUGGUCAUAAAGUUAUGUUUUCAUCAGCACUGUAACUGAAUGGUUGCUAAAUGAGACAGUCACAAAACAAGGACUACUUCUAAUAGCAAUUUUGUGUGAGAGGUGCCUCAGGACUGAUUCCUAGUGACUGCCUGGGCAAAUCCGUGCAGUUUCCUUGGUGUCCCCAAUUUCCAGUCCGUGGACUAGUACCAGGUAUGCCAGAAAUUGGUUCUCACAAACAAAGCCCUGUCCGCGGGAUGCAGACAGCAUGUGAAACCAUGACCUCUCUGGUCCCUGGAAAAAUCUCUUCACAGAACCGGUCCCUGGUACCCAAAAGGUUGGGGGCCACUGUCCUAGAAUAUAUUUCUCUAUAGCUCAAAAAAUUAUAAAGCAUUUAGAAAGGCACAUGUUGAUAGAUUUCAAUAAAUAUUACUAUGUUUUACCUUUUUUAUAUUGAAGUAACAUUUUUUUAAAUAAAGCUGUGUGAUUUACA